UACGUAGGGUGCGAGCGUUAAUCGGAAUUACUGGGCGUAAAGCGUGCGUAGGCGGUUCGUUAAGUCAGUUGUGAAAGCCCCGGGCUCAACCUGGGAAUUGCGGUUGAAACUGGCGAACUAGAAUCUGGCAGAGGGGGGUGGAAUUCCACGUGUAGCAGUGAAAUGCGUAGAGAUGUGGAGGAACACCGAUGGCGAAGGCAGGUCUCUGGGCAUUAACUGACGCUGAGGAGCGAAAGCAUGGGGAGCGAACAGG
This 253-nucleotide ribosomal RNA is filed under the name uncultured bacterium. RNAcentral describes it as "partial 16S ribosomal RNA". It matches the Rfam family "Bacterial small subunit ribosomal RNA", at positions 524 to 776 of the family's 1533-position model. The record is from RNAcentral.